Molecule: non-coding RNA, 1267 nt
Organism: Macaca mulatta (Rhesus monkey)
Lineage: Eukaryota; Metazoa; Chordata; Mammalia; Primates; Cercopithecidae
Source: RefSeq, a predicted model, not a curated record
GUGGGGUUGUAGGGGCGCAAGGAAGCGGGAGGGUGGAGGCGAGGGCCGGGGGUGGGGCGCCUCCGCCCGCCAGCCGCUCCCGCAUUAAAAUUUCAUGGGCGCUGCAGCAGCUACAAAGACGACGCCGGCUGCGCUCGGGGGACCAGAGGGAGGGAGGCUGCGGACGAGUGCGGGGAGGAGUUUGAGAUGGGAGGCGCUUGCAGGGGCUCCCCCAGUUCUGCGCUGUGAGCCGGGGCACAAAGAGCCCUCUGCACUCGCGCCGCAGGACCGCGGACCCGAGUUGGAGGCAUCUGUCCAACCAUGUGGUUCCAGACACGUUCAUGUGGCCACCAUGACCCUGUUUGCAUCACAGGAGUAACCAAGAGAGCAGCAAGUUCCUGGGACAGAGGAGACAGAAGGGAAUUUCCCGGUUCUUCAGGAUGUUCACAACCACACUGAGAAGCAUCCUUGCAGAUAAGUAUUUAAACUUACCAGGCCAUAGCCUACCAGCCUGCCCUCUUCUGGUCUGUGCAGGGAAGUGUAGUAUCCUAGAAUCCCAAAGUGGGAGGGGAAAUGGGUGAUGUAGCUCAUUCUCUUUUCUGAGUCUAUGGAAGAAAGAAAGAGCUUGUCCCCAUUUUGUGGGGUCCCAGAAAGGGUGAUUUUCACACUCCACAUUCGGCAUUAGGGCUAGUAUUUUAUAAACGUCACCGUCUGGAACUUUUGAAGGCUGAGUUAAAUGACUUCACCUUGUGUACUUGUAGAACUGCUAUUAGGAGGAAGCUGGGGACUCCCUGGUAAUGUGAACUAGCCCUUUUCAAUUUUGGUGUUUUGUGAUCAUAUUUAUAAACCUUGGCUAGAGCUCCUUGGCCUUGCAGUUAAGUGAAGAGUUAGCAGUGUGACUUUAGAUGCAUUUUUCUCAGUGCAAGUGUCUGAGUUCACCUCCAGUUCUGAACUCAUGCCCCCACUCCCAGGUGCUGACAGAAAGCUUUGAAGAUAUGCUGAGAUGGCUCCCUGACAAUCCUGAUUCAGGUCUGUCAGUUGAUGAAGACAGCGUAGUUGUCACCAAAGGCAAAACCUGGCAGAUGGUCCUGGGUCAGGAUUAGUGGUCAUUCUCUGGUCUUCUCCAGACUGGUGACACAGGGUGGUCUUAAAAGAGUCCUACUCCAGCCUCUGGCUCCCCGAAUUUCCUCUGGUGCAUGGGGCAUCAGGAAAGGGCAGGGGAGAAGGAGGGGGAGCAGAAAAAUCACUGCUGGGCAGCAGGGUCCCUUCCAUUUCCCCAUCCAUUGCU